RNAcentral lists this transfer RNA (78 nucleotides) under Heterocephalus glaber (naked mole-rat). It matches the Rfam family "tRNA". Rfam says of the family: Transfer RNA (tRNA) molecules are approximately 80 nucleotides in length. Their secondary structure includes four short double-helical elements and three loops (D, anti-codon, and T loops). The record is from Rfam by way of RNAcentral. Lineage: Eukaryota; Metazoa; Chordata; Mammalia; Rodentia; Bathyergidae.
UUGUGUUUAAUUCAGUAGUAGAAUGCUUGCCUAACAUGCAUGAGGCUGAGGCCCUGGGUUCAAUCCCCUGACCACAAA